This is a long non-coding RNA of Apis mellifera (honey bee), 351 nucleotides long. RefSeq lists it as uncharacterized. The record is from RefSeq and is a predicted model, not a curated record. The transcript is spliced from 2 exons. NCBI's taxonomy places the organism in Eukaryota, Metazoa, Arthropoda, Insecta, Hymenoptera, Apidae.
GAAAAACGAGUUUCAAGGGUUGAAAACGAUCCUCUGGUGUUUUGUCUGCUGUUUCACGUGUGAACCAUUUGAAACACAAACUGAUCAACUCCAAUUCUUGAGAGAAUUCUUUCCUUAUUAGCAGGAUUGAUCAGUUUUCUCACGUAUAAAGUACAUCAUUAAUCAAAAAUGAGCAGUUAAUAGAAAUAAUAUGGAAUGAUUGGAGGAUGAUAGAAUGAAAGAAGAGUAGAAAUUAUAUUUCUAGAUUUAUUAAAAAGAGUGUUUGUGUGAAAUUUUUACCUUUAAAAAACUUCUAUUGAAAUGCUGUAAGUUACAAUAUCUUUUCUAAUUAAAUAAUUCUAAUUCCAAUUU